RNAcentral lists this ribosomal RNA (252 nucleotides) under uncultured bacterium. RNAcentral describes it as "partial 16S ribosomal RNA". It matches the Rfam family "Bacterial small subunit ribosomal RNA", at positions 524 to 776 of the family's 1533-position model. The record is from RNAcentral.
UACGGAGGAUGCGAGCGUUAUCCGGAUUUAUUGGGUUUAAAGGGUGCGUAGGCGGGAUGCCAAGUCAGCGGUAAAAAUGCGGUGCUCAACGCCGUCGAGCCGUUGAAACUGGUGUUCUUGAGUGGGCGAGAAGUAUGCGGAAUGCGUGGUGUAGCGGUGAAAUGCAUAGCUAUCACGCAGAACUCCGAUUGCGAAGGCAGCAUACCGGCGCCCUACUGACGCUGAGGCACGAAAGCGUGGGUAUCGAACAGG